GACGAACGCUGGCGGCGUGCUUAACACAUGCAAGUCGAACGGAAAGGCCCUGCUUUUGUGGGGUGCUCGAGUGGCGAACGGGUGAGUAACACGUGAGUAACCUGCCCUUGACUUUGGGAUAACUUCAGGAAACUGGGGCUAAUACCGGAUAGGAGCUCCUGCUGCAUGGUGGGGGUUGGAAAGUUUCGGCGGUUGGGGAUGGACUCGCGGCUUAUCAGCUUGUUGGUGGGGUAGUGGCUUACCAAGGCUUUGACGGGUAGCCGGCCUGAGAGGGUGACCGGCCAAUUGGGGAGUGGGAAACGGCCCGGACCCCUAGGGGAGGAAGGGGGGGGGAAAUUUGCACAAGGGGGGGAAGCCUGAUGCAGCAGCCCCGGGGGGGGGAUGGCGGCCUUGGGGUUGUAAACCGCUUUCGCCUGGGACGAAGGGGGGGUGAGGGUAAUGGGAAAAGAAGCAGCGGCUAACUACGU
This 467-nucleotide ribosomal RNA is filed under the name uncultured bacterium. RNAcentral describes it as "partial 16S ribosomal RNA". It matches the Rfam family "Bacterial small subunit ribosomal RNA", at positions 28 to 506 of the family's 1533-position model. The record is from RNAcentral.